Molecule: ribosomal RNA, 467 nt
Filed under: uncultured bacterium
Lineage: Bacteria
Description: partial 16S ribosomal RNA
Rfam family: Bacterial small subunit ribosomal RNA
Source: RNAcentral
GGUGAACGCUGGCGGCGUGCCUAAGACAUGCAAGUCGAGCGGGGCAGGUUUAUACCUGUUCAGCGGCGGACGGGUGAGUAACGCGUGGGUGACCUACCCGGAAGAGGCGGACAACCUGGGGAAACCCAGGCUAAUCCGCCAUGUGGUCCUGUCCUGUGGGGCAGGACUAAAGGGGCGACCCGCUUCCGGAUGGGCCCGCGUCCCAUCAGCUAGUUGGUGGGGUAAAGGCCCACCAAGGCGACGACGGGUAGCCGGUCUGGGAGGAUGGCCGGCCACAGGGGCACUGAGACACGGGCACCACUCCUACGGGAGGCAGCAGUUAGGAAUCUUCCGCAAUGGACGGAAGUCUGACGGAGCGACGCAGCUUGGAGGAGGAAGCCAUUCGGGGUGUAAACUCCUGAACUGGGGACGAAAGCCCCGUGUAGGGGGAUGACGGUACCCAGGUAAUAGCGCCGGCCAACUCCGUG